UUAGAAGAACGGGCAUCGAACCCGUAUUUAAGAAAUCAAAAUCCUUCGUAUUCCCAUUUUACUACCCCCU
This 70-nucleotide transfer RNA is filed under the name Pristimantis chomskyi. Its description in RNAcentral is "tRNA-Gln". Lineage: Eukaryota; Metazoa; Chordata; Amphibia; Anura; Strabomantidae. The record is from RNAcentral.